RNAcentral lists this ribosomal RNA (252 nucleotides) under uncultured bacterium. RNAcentral's name for it is "partial 16S ribosomal RNA". It matches the Rfam family "Bacterial small subunit ribosomal RNA", at positions 525 to 776 of the family's 1533-position model. The record is from RNAcentral.
ACGUACUGUGCGAACGUUAUUCGGAAUCACUGGGCUUAAAGGGUACGUAGGCGGUUUAUCAAGUCAGGUGUGAAAUGCCUGAGCUCAACUGAGGCACUGCGCUUGAAACUGAUAGGCUAGAGUAUUCCAGGGGUGUGCGGAACUGCCAGUGGAGCGGUGAAAUGCGUUGAGAUUGGCAGGAACACCGGAGGCGAAGGCGGCACACUGGGGGAUUACUGACGCUGAGGUACGAAAGCCAGGGUAGCGAACGGG